RNAcentral lists this ribosomal RNA (467 nucleotides) under uncultured bacterium. Its description in RNAcentral is "partial 16S ribosomal RNA". It matches the Rfam family "Bacterial small subunit ribosomal RNA", at positions 29 to 507 of the family's 1533-position model. The record is from RNAcentral.
ACGAACGCUGGCGGCGUGCUUAACACCUGCAAGUCGAACGGAAAGGCCCUGCUUUUGUGGGGUGCUCGAGUGGCGAACGGGUGAGUAACACGUGAGUAACCUGCCCUUGACUUUGGGAUAACUUCAGGAAACUGGGGCUAAUACCGGAUAGGAGCUCCUGCUGCAUGGUUGGGGUUGGAAAGUUUCGGCGGUUGGGGAUGGACUCGCGGCUUAUCAGCUUGUUGGUGGGGUAGUGGCUUACCAAGGCUUUGACGGGUAGCCGGCCUGAGAGGGUGACCGGCCACAUUGGGACUGAGAUACGGCCCAGACUCCUACGGGAGGCAGCAGUGGGGAAUAUUGCACAAUGGGCGGAAGCCUGAUGCAGCAACGCCGCGUGCGGGAUGACGGCCUUCGGGUUGUAAACCGCUUUCGCCUGUGACGAAGCGUGAGUGACGGUAAUGGGUAAAGAAGCACCGGCUAACUACGUG